UACGUAGGGUGCAAGCGUUGUCCGGAAUUAUUGGGCGUAAAGAGCUCGUAGGCGGUCUGUCGCGUCUGGUGUGAAAACUCGGGGCUUAACCCCGGGCCUGCAUCGGGUACGGGCAGACUAGAGUGCGGUAGGGGAGACUGGAAUUCCUGGUGUAGCGGUGAAAUGCGCAGAUAUCAGGAGGAACACCGGUGGCGAAGGCGGGUCUCUGGGCCGUAACUGACGCUGAGGAGCGAAAGCAUGGGGAGCGAACAGG
Molecule: ribosomal RNA, 253 nt
Filed under: uncultured bacterium
Lineage: Bacteria
Description: partial 16S ribosomal RNA
Rfam family: Bacterial small subunit ribosomal RNA
Source: RNAcentral